UAGGGAAUCUUCCGCAAUGGGCGAAAGCUUGACGGAGCAACGCCGCGUGAGUGAUGAAGGUCUUCGGAUCGUAAAACUCUGUUAUUAGGGAAGAACAAAUGUGUAAGUAACUAUGCACGUCUUGACGGUACCUAAUCAGAAAGCCACGGCUAACUACGUGCCAGCAGCCGCGGUAAUACGUAGGUGGCAAGCGUUAUCCGGAAUUAUUGGGCGUAAAGCGCGCGUAGGCGGUUUUUUAAGUCUGAUGUGAAAGCCCACUGCUCAACCGUGGAGGGUCAUUGGAAACUGUAAAACUUGAGUGCAGAAGAGGAAAGUGGAAUUCCAUGUGUAGCGGUGAAAUGCGCAGAGAUAUGGAGGAACACCAGUGGCGAAGGCGACUUUCUGGUCUGUAACUGACGCUGAUGUGCGAAAGCGUGGGGAUCAAACAGG
RNAcentral lists this ribosomal RNA (429 nucleotides) under Actinomycetes bacterium. RNAcentral's name for it is "Actinobacteria bacterium partial 16S ribosomal RNA". It matches the Rfam family "Bacterial small subunit ribosomal RNA", at positions 355 to 776 of the family's 1533-position model. Lineage: Bacteria; Bacillati; Actinomycetota; Actinomycetes. The record is from RNAcentral.